AAAACGACUCUCGGCAACGGAUAUCUCGGCUCUCGCAUCGAUGAAGAACGUAGCAAAAUGCGAUACUUGGUGUGAAUUGCAGAAUCCCGUGAAUCAUCGAGUCUUUGAACGCAAGUUGCGCCCGAGGCCAUUAGGCUAAGGGCACGUCUGCCUGGGCGUCACGC
RNAcentral lists this ribosomal RNA (164 nucleotides) under Gentiana tonkinensis. Its description in RNAcentral is "5.8S ribosomal RNA". It matches the Rfam family "5.8S ribosomal RNA". Rfam says of the family: 5.8S ribosomal RNA (5.8S rRNA) is a component of the large subunit of the eukaryotic ribosome. It is transcribed by RNA polymerase I as part of the 45S precursor that also contains 18S and 28S rRNA. The record is from RNAcentral. Lineage: Eukaryota; Viridiplantae; Streptophyta; Magnoliopsida; Gentianales; Gentianaceae.